AGAUUGAACGCUGGCGGCAUGCUUUACACAUGCAAGUCGAACGGUAACAGGCCGCAAGGUGCUGACGAGUGGCGAACGGGUGAGUAAUGCAUCGGAACGUGCCCAGUCGUGGGGGAUAACGCAGCGAAAGCUGUGCUAAUACCGCAUACGAUCUAUGGAUGAAAGCGGGGGACCGAAGGCCUCGCGCGAUUGGAGCGGCCGAUGUCAGAUUAGCUAGUUGGUGGGUAAAGCCCACCGAAGGCGACGAUCGUGUAGCUGGUCUGAGAGGACGACCAGCCACACGUGGAACUGAGACACCGGUCCAGACUCCGUACGGGAGCAG
This 322-nucleotide ribosomal RNA is filed under the name uncultured soil bacterium. RNAcentral describes it as "bacterial SSU rRNA". It matches the Rfam family "Bacterial small subunit ribosomal RNA", at positions 26 to 351 of the family's 1533-position model. The record is from RNAcentral.